AGUGAACGCUGGCGGUAGGCCUAACACAUGCAAGUCGAACGGCAGCACAGUAAGAGCUUGCUCUUACGGGUGGCGAGUGGCGGACGGGUGAGGAAUACAUCGGAAUCUACUUUUUCGUGGGGGAUAACGUAGGGAAACUUACGCUAAUACCGCAUACGACCUACGGGUGAAAGCAGGGGAUCUUCGGACCUUGCGCGAUUGAAUGAGCCGAUGUCGGAUUAGCUAGUUGGCGGGGUAAAGGCCCACCAAGGCGACGAUCCGUAGCUGGUCUGAGAGGAUGGUCGGCCACACUGGAACUGAGCCACGGUCCAGACUCCUACGGGAGGGAGCAGUGGGGAAUAUUGGACAAUGGGCGCGAGCCUGAUCCAGCCAUACCGCGUGGGUGAAGAAGGCCUUCGGGUUGUAAAGCCCUUUUGUUGGGAAAGAAAAGCAGCAGGUUAAUACCCCGCUGUUCUGACGGUACCCAAAGAAUAAGCACCGGCUAACUUCGUG
This 492-nucleotide ribosomal RNA is filed under the name uncultured bacterium. Its description in RNAcentral is "partial 16S ribosomal RNA". It matches the Rfam family "Bacterial small subunit ribosomal RNA", at positions 29 to 507 of the family's 1533-position model. The record is from RNAcentral.